UACGUAGGGUGCGAGCGUUGUCCGGAUUUAUUGGGCGUAAAGAGCUUGUAGGCGGCUCGUCACGUCGGGUGUGAAAACUCGCGGCUCAACCGCGAGCCUGCACCCGAUACGGGCGGGCUGGAGUUCGGCAGGGGAGACUGGAAUUCCUGGUGUAGCGGUGGAAUGCGCAGAUAUCAGGAGGAACACCGGUGGCGAAGGCGGGGUCUCUGGGCCGAUACUGACGCUGAGAAGCGAAAGCGUGGGGAGCGAACAGG
This 254-nucleotide ribosomal RNA is filed under the name uncultured bacterium. Its description in RNAcentral is "partial 16S ribosomal RNA". It matches the Rfam family "Bacterial small subunit ribosomal RNA", at positions 524 to 776 of the family's 1533-position model. The record is from RNAcentral.